GUUGCUGAGAGGCGGGGCUCCUCGACUGCUCCGGAGGUAGCGGCCGCGGGGAGGAGAGCCAUGAACCAGGCAGUCAAGACCGAGUAUUUGUCUGAGGGACCCAUUUCACAUCCCUGGGAAGUAUAGGAGACGCCAAAGGCAGACCUAAGCAACAGCAGUUCAAUGAAGUGAAAAGUUUAUUUGAAUAAACAGAAGGUGCACAGAAGUCUAGCAGCCGAGGAAACCGAACCCCAGCAAAAUUACUUGUCAAAAGUAACACAGCAAGACAGAGCAGGGGCUGGUUUUACAGCUCUUUAAAGCACUGCACAGGACCAGACAACAAGUUUUUAGAAAUGAUGCCAGAGCAUUAGAAGCCAGAAUAAAGAUAAAUGAAGAAUUCAAAAAUAAUAAAAGUGAAACUUCUCCUAAGAAAAUAGAAGAGCUAAUGAAAAUAGGUUCUGAUGUUGAAUUGCUACUCAGAACAUCUGUUAUACAAGGUAUUCACACUGGCCACAAUACACUGAAACUGGUCCCUAGGAAAGACCUUCUUAUAGAAAAUGUGCCGUAUUGUGACACACCAACUCAGAAGCAAUGAGUUUUCUAGGAUAAAAUAAGUCUUUGCACUUUUUAACUUUAAAAUCUAUAACACUGGCAAAGUCCUGGAAAUGUAGACAUCUUUCUCUGAACUGGCAUAUUGAAGAUGAAUGAAUUACAGAAUAACUUCAUAUUUAAAUUUCAUGUUGAAAGGUCAUUACUGAGAACUGAAGAACAUAAUUACGUAUUUCUAAAGGAAAUUAGAUAAGAAAACAUUUCAUUUUCAUUGAAAAUCAAAUGCCAUAAAGCAAAAUAAAUGCUUAGGGAGAUAUAUUCUCUUCUCUCUGACCUUGAUGAAUAUUUGGUCUUGCCAUAGCUAUUUGAGAAUGUGGUGUUUUUAUAAGUUGGUGAGUUUUUUUCCCAUAUGAAAUGCAAUUAGUAGAUUUAAAUUAUUAGAUUAAACUGAUAUUUAGUCCUGAAAAAUAUUAAAUUGUUCCAAAAAAAAUCACAGUGUGUGCCAGCUCUCUGCAGAAGUGGCCUUUGUUUUCUAAAGCACUGGGAUUUUUUCUGCAGCUAAUGUGUAAUUGUACAGUUUCUUUUUGGAGAUACAGAGUAUCUCUGUAUUCUUAUAAAAACAUUUUUUAUCAGUCUUCUGAAAAUAGUUGAAUAAAAUAUUAAAAUCACCUAGGGUCACUAUGGAAUAAAGAAAUCCAAAUUAAAGUGGAAAUAGUGACCCUUGAUUAAACUAUUUAAUAUGGCCGUAGUAGAAUUAGCUAUAUUUAGACGAAGUUAGACUUUCUUGUGAAAUGUAAUAGAUGGCUACAUUCUCUUUGUUUUAAUUAAUGAAACUUAAAUGUCCUCUCUUCUUCCACAUGUCCUGUCCUUGACAAGAUGGGCAGUAUCACAAAGGGCCAGGCAUUCUAUCAUCUAACACUAGGAACUGUAAAAUCCUGUUUAAUAUUUUUCUUGUUUCUCUUUUAUCUGUAUAUCUUUGCCAUUCUGUUUUCUCAGUUAAUAGUAUGUUUUCUCCCAUUCACUGAUAAAUUAUCUCAUUUGAUGAUGAUA
Molecule: RNA transcript, 1578 nt
Organism: Cebus imitator (Panamanian white-faced capuchin)
Lineage: Eukaryota; Metazoa; Chordata; Mammalia; Primates; Cebidae
Gene: LYRM7
Gene name: LYR motif containing 7
Exons: 6
Source: RefSeq, a predicted model, not a curated record